GACGAACGCUGGCGGCGUGCUUAACACAUGCAAGUCGAACGGAAAGGCCCUGCUUUUGUUGGGUGCUCGAGUGGCGAACGGGUGAGUAACACGUGUGUAACCUGCCCUUGACUUUGUGAUAACUUCAGGAAACUGGGGCUAAUACCGGAUAGGAUCUCCUGCUGCAUGGUGGGGGUUGGAAAGUUUCGGCGGUUGGGGCUGGACUCGCGGCUUAUCAGCUUGUUUGUGGGGUAGUGGCUUACCAAGGCUUUGACGGGUAGCCGGCCUGAGAGGGUGACCGGCGACAUUGGGACUGAGAUACGGCGCAGACUCCUACGGGCGGCAGCAGUGGGGAAUAUUGCACAAUGGGCGGAAGCCUGAUGCAGCAACGCCGCGUGCGGGAUGACGGCCUUCGGGUUGUAAACCGCUUUCGAAUGUGACGAAGCGUGAGUGACGGUAAUGGGUAAAGAAGCACCGGCUAACUACGUG
Molecule: ribosomal RNA, 468 nt
Filed under: uncultured bacterium
Lineage: Bacteria
Description: partial 16S ribosomal RNA
Rfam family: Bacterial small subunit ribosomal RNA
Source: RNAcentral